Xiphophorus couchianus (Monterrey platyfish) is the source of this 373-nucleotide long non-coding RNA. RefSeq lists it as uncharacterized. The record is from RefSeq and is a predicted model, not a curated record. NCBI's taxonomy places the organism in Eukaryota, Metazoa, Chordata, Actinopteri, Cyprinodontiformes, Poeciliidae. The transcript is spliced from 2 exons.
AUACAGAAGGAAGGCGCACGUCAUUUCCCUCAGGCGAGGAAUACGAGCGAUUUGCCGCAACCGGAGCAUCAUAAAUCUGGACACAUGGAUCUUGUUUUGGAUUUUCUGCGGUCAGGACUUUGUUCUGACACUUUUCAAUCAAAACAAAAACAGCAAAGUGAUGCGCUGGGCUUUCUCCCUGGGAAGUCACUGCCGUGGCUUUCACUUCAUGUUCAGAAAGGUUUCGUCUGCAGAGUCCCAAGAGCGCUCUGGAAAAAAAGUGGCACACAUUUUCCUGAAGACCUCCACGUUGGGUCUUCAUCGCCCAAGCUCUCCAGCUUUCUCGCUCAUUCGUCCCCUUCAUCCAGUUCCUUCAAUAAAUCUUUUCAGGUUA